GACGAACGCUGGCGGCGUGCUUAAUACAUGCAAGUCGAACGGAAAGGCCCUGCUUUUGUGGGGUGCUCGAGUGGCGAACGGGUGAGUAACACGUGAGUAACCUGCCCUUGACUUUGGGAUAACUUCAGGAAACUGGGGCUAAUACCGGAUAGGAGCUCCUGCUGCAUGGUGGGGGUUGGAAAGUUUCGGCGGUUGGGGAUGGACUCGCGGCUUAUCAGCUUGUUGGUGGGGUAGUGGCUUACCAAGGCUUUGACGGGUAGCCGGCCUGAGAGGGUGACCGGCCACAUUGGGACUGAGAUACGGCCCAGACUCCUACGGGAGGCAGCAGUGGGGAAUAUAGCACAAUGGGCGGAAGCCUGAUGCAGCAACGCCGCGUGCGGGAUGACGGCCUUCGGGUUGUAAACCGCUUUCGCCUGUGACGAAGCGUGAGUGACGGUAAUGGGUAAAGAAGCACCGGCUAACUACGUG
This 468-nucleotide ribosomal RNA is filed under the name uncultured bacterium. Its description in RNAcentral is "partial 16S ribosomal RNA". It matches the Rfam family "Bacterial small subunit ribosomal RNA", at positions 28 to 507 of the family's 1533-position model. The record is from RNAcentral.